This 737-nucleotide long non-coding RNA is filed under the name Junco hyemalis (dark-eyed junco). Its description in RNAcentral is "lncRNA (ENSJHYG00000015622.1)". The record is from RNAcentral. Lineage: Eukaryota; Metazoa; Chordata; Aves; Passeriformes; Passerellidae.
GGCAGCGAGGGGGCGGGACCGGGGCGGGGCCUCGGCGCGCUGAUUGACAGGUGGGGCGGGGCCACGGCGGGGCGGAGCCGCGCGGCCGAUCCGGAGCGCCGGGGCCGUGUAGGGCGGGGGAGACACCGGGCACGGAGCCGCCGCUGCCGCGCUCCCCGCAGCCAGGCAGAGGCCAGGCCUUGUUUACUCGGACAGUCGCAGAAGUUGGUGGUGGACAUUGAAUCUCCGACCUCCCAAGGGACUGACCACAUGUGUGUUUUUGGAUGUGCCCCCACCUGUGAGCAGGGAAACCUGGGAAGAUGAGAAGAGGAAGCUGAAGCCCAGUUCCUGAGAGGCCAUGAUGAAGUUUCAGCCUGGUUCCAGGGUAAGUACAUCUUGAGAACGUGUCAGUGUGCUUAGGGGAAUGCAUAAACCUUUCUCAGAAGGUAGAGAAUGCUUAUUUGCUCACAAAAGAAAAUGUUUUUAGUUGGUUAAAUAGUGGAAGAGAGGCGGUCACAGUUUUUUGUCCUUUAACUAGCAGCUGUUCUCUGUUGUAGAUGUGAACGCAGUAGAUGGUGCUGAAGCAACUCUGAGGCUCCUCCUGUGAAAUAUCCACAGUCCAGUGUAUAGAGAAAGUGCUUGCUGGCUCUCCCAAGUGUUGACGGUCCUGUGUCUUCAAGAGAUGUAUUCCAGGACAAGAAAACACUGACUGUUAGUUUUAAAGAUGUUAAUAAAUAAUUAUUUGUGUUACUUUUUCA